This 253-nucleotide ribosomal RNA is filed under the name uncultured bacterium. Its description in RNAcentral is "partial 16S ribosomal RNA". It matches the Rfam family "Bacterial small subunit ribosomal RNA", at positions 524 to 776 of the family's 1533-position model. The record is from RNAcentral.
UACGGAGGGUGCAAGCGUUAAUCGGAAUCACUGGGCGUAAAGCGCACGUAGGCGGCACGUUAAGUCAGAUGUGAAACCCCUGGGCUCAACCUGGGAAUGGCAUUUGAUACUGGCGCGCUCGAGUCUGAGAGAGGGAGGUGGAAUUCCAGGUGUAGCGGUGAAAUGCGUAGAUAUCUGGAGGAACACCGGUGGCGAAGGCGGCCUCCUGGCUCAUGACUGACGCUGAGGUGCGAAAGCGUGGGGAGCAAACAGG